GCCGAGCUUUGUAACGCAAGCUUGUAACCCGAGUGGGGGCUUUGAGGUGCUGGAACAUUGGCUCAGUAUUAGCUGGUCGGGUUCGGGUUGGCUAUUUACUGGCCUGCCCAUUCCAAGCAAAGCGUUGAGCCAUGUGGCUUGGGCGAAGGCUCUGGGCUUCAUGGUUCUUAGAGUGGUGGGCACUGCGUAAGGCUGGUUUCACAGAACCUCCUAUUUUCCCCUGCCUGAAGAUAAUGCAUAAAAGAAAGAAAACACUGAUUUUGAAGAAAGUGAACAAGUUUUUAGAUCCAGCGAUUGU
This 298-nucleotide non-coding RNA is filed under the name Prunus persica (peach). Lineage: Eukaryota; Viridiplantae; Streptophyta; Magnoliopsida; Rosales; Rosaceae. The record is from RNAcentral.